Eptesicus fuscus (big brown bat) is the source of this 992-nucleotide long non-coding RNA. RefSeq lists it as uncharacterized. The record is from RefSeq and is a predicted model, not a curated record. The transcript is spliced from 3 exons. Lineage: Eukaryota; Metazoa; Chordata; Mammalia; Chiroptera; Vespertilionidae.
GGAUCCAGGCAGCAGUGAGGUCGGAGCAGCCUCCAGCCCCGCGCGGGACCGGCGCGGCACUCGGAGAGAGCCACGCGCCAGCGCCCCACGCUGGGGUCCGCGCAGUCGGCACCCGGGCGUCGGAGGCCCGCCCUCCCGGCUCUCCAGACGCCCCCCCCGGGGUCCUCCUUCUCCGAGGAUCCCCCGACCCUACGGGGCUGCUAAUCACCGCCUUCUCCGCUCGCCCUCUUUCUUUCGGGACCGGUUGGCUGGGCUGAGGCGGAGAGGGGGAGGCGGAGGAGCCGAGGAGGCGGGGGCCCGGCGGCCGGAGCCCAGAGAAAGUGGCAUGCCCGAGCCCUGCAGGCGGAGGUGGCGGAGGACGGGGGAAGACGAUGCCGCGGCUCGGUAGGGGAGAAAGGCGAGAGCUAGCGAGGCGAGCGGGGCUCCCGGGCGCCAGCCGGCUGCGGGGACGCUCGAGCCGCUCUCUGAGGCUCCGGCCUCCGCAUCCCCGCGCCCCGACGCUGCGGGCGACAGGGCCGGGCUCCCGCAGCCGCCACGGUCGUCGCCGCCUCCAGCCGGAGGACCGGGCAAAAGUUUGGAUCUGGGGGAGGACGCGGCGCUGAGCGGGAUUACCAGCAGGCCAAAAGGAUACCUCGCAAACCUCUGCAGAAUCUGAAUACCUUUUGUUCUGGCAGUGCUGAAUGAUAGAAUAAUGAUAUUUGAAGAAGAAAAAUGUUUACUACUACUCUGAAGAGUUCUGCUAAUAAAAUGAGAUGAAUCUGUAGGGAGACGUGAUCAGGCCACGUGGAAGAAACCUACACACGCCAGUGUCACUCUUACUGGAAAUGGCUCCUGGUUUGCCUGGACCACAUGCAUCUGUGAAGGACCGCUUGUUACCCAGUGUUACUCUUCCCUCUCUACUCUGAAUACUGAACUCACUUGAAUUUUCGGUUGGGCUCCAGUGUUGGUAUGAGGUAAUUAUUUCUAACCAGGUCCCAUUCUGCUUAUAUUUC